Molecule: ribosomal RNA, 1257 nt
Filed under: uncultured bacterium
Lineage: Bacteria
Description: bacterial SSU rRNA
Rfam family: Bacterial small subunit ribosomal RNA
Source: RNAcentral
GAUGAACGCUGGCGGCGUGCCUAACACAUGCAAGUCGAGCGAUUCUCUUCGGAGAAGAGCGGCGGACGGGUGAGUAACGCGUGGGUAACCUGCCCUGUACACACGGAUAACAUACCGAAAGGUAUGCUAAUACGAGAUAAUAUACUUUUAUCGCAUGGUAGAAGUAUCAAAGCUUUUGCGGUACAGGAUGGACCCGCGUCUGAUUAGCUAGUUGGUAAGGUAACGGCUUACCAAGGCGACGAUCAGUAGCCGACCUGAGAGGGUGAUCGGCCACAUUGGAACUGAGACACGGUCCAAACUCCUACGGGAGGCAGCAGUGGAGAAUAUUGCACAAUGGGCGAAAGCCUGAUGCAGCAACGCCGCGUGAGCGAUGAAGGCCUUCGGGUCGUAAAGCUCUGUCCUCAAGGAAGAUAAUGACGGUACUUGAGGAGGAAGCCCCGGCUAACUACGUGCCAGCAGCCGCGGUAAUACGUAGGGGGCUAGCGUUAUCCGGAAUUACUGGGCGUAAAGGGUGCGUAGGUGGUUUCUUAAGUCAGAGGUGAAAGGCUACGGCUCAACCGUAGUAAGCCUUUGAAACUGGGAAACUUGAGUGCAGGAGAGGAGAGCGGAAUUCCUAGUGUAGCGGUGAAAUGCGUAGAUAUUAGGAGGAACACCAGUUGCGAAGGCGGCUCUCUGGACUGUAACUGACACUGAGGCACGAAAGCGUGGGAGCAAACAGGAUUAGAUACCCUGGUAGUCCACGCCGUAAACGAUGAGUACUAGCUGUCGGAGGUUACCCCCUUCGGUGGCGCAGCUAACGCAUUAAGUACUCCGCCUGGGAAGUACGCUCGCAAGAGUGAAACUCAAAGGAAUUGACGGGGACCCGCACAAGUAGCGGAGCAUGUGGUUUAAUUCGAAGCAACGCGAAGAACCUUACCUAAGCUUGACAUCCUUUUGACCGAUGCCUAAUCGUAUCUUUCCCUUCGGGGACAGAAGUGACAGGUGGUGCAUGGUUGUCGUCAGCUCGUGUCGUGAGAUGUUGGGUUAAGUCCCGCAACGAGCGCAACCCUUGCCUUUAGUUGCCAGCAUUAAGUUGGGCACUCUAGAGGGACUGCCAGGGAUAACCUGGAGGAAGGUGGGGAUGACGUCAAAUCAUCAUGCCCCUUAUGCUUAGGGCUACACACGUGCUACGAAUGGGUGGUACAGAGGGCGGCCGAGUUCGUGAGGCGGAGCUAAUUCCCUUAAAGCCGUUUCUCGGUUUCGGAUUGUAGGCUGAAA